GACGAACGCUGGCGGCGUGCUUAACACAUGCAAGUCGAACGGAAAGGCCCUGCUUUUGUGGGGUGCUCGAGUGGCGAACGGGUGAGUAACACGUGAGUAACCUGCCCUUGACUUUGGGAUAACUUCAGGAAACUGGGGCUAAUACCGGAUAGGAGCUCCUGCUGCAUGGUGGGGGUUGGAAAGUUUCGGCGGUUGGGGAUGGACUCGCGGCUUAUCAGCUUGUUGGUGGGGUAGUGGCUUACCAAGGCUUUGACGGGUAGCCGGCCUGAGAGGGUGACCGGCCACAUUGGGACUGAGAUACGGCGCAGACUCCUACGGGAGGCAGCGGUGGGGAAUAUUGCACAAUGGGCGGGAGCCUGAUGCAGCAGCGCCGCGGGCGGGAUGACGGCCUUCGGGUUGUAAACCGCUUUCGCCUGUGACGAAGCGUGAGUGACGGUAAUGGGUAAAGAAGCACCGGCUAACUACGUG
Molecule: ribosomal RNA, 468 nt
Filed under: uncultured bacterium
Lineage: Bacteria
Description: partial 16S ribosomal RNA
Rfam family: Bacterial small subunit ribosomal RNA
Source: RNAcentral